Oryctolagus cuniculus (rabbit) is the source of this 13964-nucleotide non-coding RNA. The record is from RefSeq and is a predicted model, not a curated record. Lineage: Eukaryota; Metazoa; Chordata; Mammalia; Lagomorpha; Leporidae.
GAGCCUUUACCUGCUGUCCUCAGAGUUUGCGUUAGCAGGAAGCCGGAAGUUGGAGAAAAGUCAGGACUCAAACCCAAGCAUGCUGAUUUGGGAUAGAGGCAUCCAAGGUGGCAUCUUCAUCACUAUGGCAGAGGCCCACCUUUCUACAAUUUUGUUUGUUGCUGAGACAGAAGGAAAACCCAGUCCUUUGGAGCUUUUUGGCCUUUUACUAAAUUGCUUGCCCUGCUGCUGCUGAGUUGUUUGAAACUGGCCACUGGACACCAUCAUCAGGAAGACUCUGGAUGGACUGCCCAGAGCCCAGAAGAGGCAGGACAUCAGCCGCAGCUCCUCACUGGACCGCCUGCUUCAUGUCAAGUAAUGGCUGGGAUCAGGGUCAGAUGAAGAAUGAGCCCGCUGGACAACUGCUGGCCAGUUGUCUCUCUCCCUGAGAGAGCUGUCUUCCAUCCACUGGUUCACUCUCCAAGUGGGGUAGGCCAUGCUGAAGCCCAGAGCCUGGAACUCAGUCCCGUUCUUCCAUCUGGGCAGCAGGGAGCCAAGUACAUGACCCAUCGCUGCUGCCUCCCUGGGGAUGCAUUAGCAGGAAGCUGGAUCAGAAGCAGAUCAAACCAGGCAACUCAGGUGCAGACUACUGAUGUCUCAAGCACCAUCAUAACUGCUGUGCCAAAUGCCUAGUCCAAGGACUGACUUUGAAGGGCACCCAAACGAGAACAGCGUGCUAACACAGCCACAGAAACACAAGAAGGAGACGGAUCUGCCAUCCCAUCUCGGGGAAUUCCGGGUGGGUUUGAUACAUUUCUUAGGGGUGGGGAGGACAGAAUAAUCAUAUUAUGGAGGAGGGUAAGGCUGUUUUCCCAUAAGUCUCCUCUUUCCUGCUGGGAUGUUUUUGCGCAUGGAGUGUGGUUUGAGCAUCGCAGUUGUUCUGCUUGGUUCUUCUCCAUCAGAGCUCAGCCUUUCCUCCAAUAGUGACUGAACAAGUUGUGAUUUGAAGGAGGCACUGACUCAUUAGCUUCCAUUUCUCUUCUCUGCAUUUUAGGGCUUGACAAUGAAGACAUUACUAUAGACUCUGUCUUCCAAUUCCAGGAUGUGUGUCCUUAGAGUGCCUUCAUUUAUUGGGGGUGAGCCCUCUUGCUAAAACAGUAGUUCAAGUCAACUGGAACCUGAACUCUGCUAAUGGGCCAGGAGGUCAGACACAGUGUUGAGUUAAAUCCAUGGAAGAAGAUACCAAUGGAGCUGAGACCUUCAAAAAUAUUUGGCUUAAGGAUGACAUUGCUGGCUAUUUGUAGAUGGGGACAUCAUUGAGCAUGUUUGGAGUCAUGGUCAUGACUCCAAACUGUGGUCACAUUUAACAACAAAUAGGUACUAAUUUAGAGUUAGACUUCAGAGUAGACACGGUUCCUACCCCCAUGGAGCUCUCAUCUUCUAAUUUUUUCCUUAGAUAUGAAAAGCAGUGGCUACAGCAAACUACUGAUCACAAAGAUAUUCUUGAAUUCAAUAUGGUCAUUCUUAUUGCUUUUAAACAUGCCUAGUGACCAUGUGCUGUAAUCCUGCAUUCUAGAAAUGCCCUAAAAGCUAUUUUUUCCCCUAACAAGCUAUGCAAUAUCCUGUGGAAUCAGAAGUGGGAAUUUGGAUUAGUAGGGCUUUUAGGGUGGGAAAUAUAGAGUGAUUUGGGUCAGGAAGUAGGAAAGAAUAGAAUUCUAUUUCUUUUGUUUCUGUUCUAUGUAGGAAUCAGCGUGGAAAAUAUUGAGCUGGAAACCUUGAGAUCUGAAUUUUAGUAAUUAAAAAAAUGCUCUUGAAAUGGAGAGAGAGAGAGAGAGAGAAGAGAGAGACACCUUCCUUCUCCUUCCAUCUGCUGAUUCAGCUCUCAAAAUGUCCAACAGCUGGGGCUGGGCCAGGAGCCCAAAAUUCAGCCCAGGUCUCCUACAUUACCGGCAGGGAUCCAAGUACUUGAAGCAUCACCUGCUGUUUCCCAGGGUUCGUGUUAGCAGGAAGCUGGAAUCAGAAGUGGAGCCAGGACUUGAACACAGGCAGUCUGAUAUGGGACGGCAUCUUAACUGCUGCAUCAAAUACCCACUCUGAGUCUAGUCUUUAUCCCACUACUGAGGAACUGUGUGACUGGGUGAGUUGCUCCAAGGUGCCCCUUGAAUGACUCCAAACCCCUAACAAUGUCAGGUCAGGCCCCAGGCCAUACCAGUGCUUAGCUUUCCAGUUCCCAGUUAGGUCAAAUAGAUCUUCAACACUCACUUGACUGUGAGUUUUUUGGAGAGGGUGUUUUACUGGCCUCUUAAGCUACAAUGAGUCUGUUUCUGUCCUCUGGAGUUAAGAAGGUUCUGGCAGCAUGCCCUGUUCUGCUCAUAGAGGCUUUGUUCCCUUCUUCUUUGCCUACUCUCUGCCUCUCUGCUUCCUCACUUUGCAUCGAGCACAAUCUUGGAACGCCCUGAAAUACCCAUCAGUAACCUUUCAGGCAGAGUCACCAGGGAAAGAGCUAUCUCCAGAUCUAAGGAGGAGACAACCUUUUACUUCUUGGCAUGAAUCUCCAUGCAGUGAAGAUCACCAACGACUACUACUCCCUGCCCCCAGCAACCCAGCCCUGCCCAGGUAGGGAGUCUGGGCUACUAUUUCUUGCACUUAAAACAAUGCCUCUCCAUCAAGAGACAUCUUUCAUACACACAGUGCUUCAUAUAUCCACAUGGCUGGAGAAGUUUUUUGUUUUUUAAAAAGAUCUAUUUAUUUAUUUGAAAGGCAGAGUUACAGAGAGGCAGAGGCAGAGGCAGAGGCAGAGGCAGAGGCAGAGGCAGAGGCAGAAAGAGAGAGAGAGAGAGAGAGAGAGAGAGAGAGAGAGGUCUUCCAUCUGCUGGCUCACUUCCCAGAUGACCGCAACGGCCGGAGCUGUGCUGAUCCAAAGCCAGGAGCCAGGAGCUUCUUCCUGGUCUCCCACACGGGUGCAGGGGCCCAAAGACUUGGGCCAUCUUCUACUGCUUUCCCAGGCCACAGCAGAGAGCUGGAUUGAAGAGAUGCAGCAGAGACUCAAACCAGCACCCAUAUGGGAUGCCGACACUAUAGGCAGUGGCUUUACCCACUAUGCCACAGCACCAGCCUCUGGAGAGCUUUUUAACAAGGAAAAACACUUAUCAGAUAAGAAUCUGUUGUUAUGUGUUCUUGCCUCAUUAUGAAUCCUAUAUAAGGAACUUCUCAUCACUGUUUCUUUCACCACCAGCAAAUUUGUUUAAUAUAUAGUUUUGGGUGCAGAAAAUAUAGAAAAUUAAAUCCGUGGAAUUUCAAAUUCAGAAAUGCUGACACAAACUAUUUGGUUUGAGAAUCUCACCGUGGGAUCUAGUUUUAGAGAUUUCAACUUCUGCCUUAAAUGGUGGAAUUAGUUAUUCUUCACUCAGUUUUACUUUAUGGUUGAAGUCAAGGCAUGGGUGACGCUUUCAGUUCAUGUCUAUACUUCUCCAGUGCCAAGGGCUUUAAUCUUCUCUAUUACCUUCUCUUUUGUGUAUGUACAUUAUUAUUAAAUUUAUUGGUUAGUGUUUUGUCUCCUCGGCUUGUGCUUUCUUUCCCUCUGGUAACUACAUUAAAAACAGGGUAAGAUUCAUAGACAGAGUGGCUGGUAGAACUUUGAAGAGCAAUAGCAGGCCUGGGUAACUUCUAUAAAUGAAAAGUUGACCCUGGAAUAGUUGACAAUGUAUUCAAAUAGUUUAGAGCAGUGUUCCUCCCACUAAGCAGACACGGCAUCAGUAGACCCAGAUGACUCCAGACAUUCUAUGAAAAAGGGCUCAUUCUGUCUAGCAUCUCACAUUUUCAAAUAUCUGGACAUUGGCCAUUGAGAAGACAAAGUAUACAGAUGAUAGGCUCGUCUUUCUACCUCUUGUUGGAUGGUCUGGAGUCUGGUCACUCCAGCCUUGACUCUAAGGCAAUUUACAUUUGUUUUCCCCAUCCUCCUUGAAAGGAAAGAAAACAAAAAUCACAUUUUUCCAGGCAAUUAAAAUGCUUCUGCUUCAGCUGAGAUGAAAGAAUUAUGAGUUCUGACUCCUUGUAUGUAAUUGCAUGUUUCAUUUUUCUUGUUUUGAUGAUUGACAGAAAACUGAUAAACCAAGACAUCUCUGAAUCAGGGUUGAAUAUACUCUCUUGGUGGCCUCCUUGCUAAUUUGUUUGACUAUUUUGUAAGAUUUCUUGUUCUGUAAUGGAAAGGUUUAUUAAAUAUGAGGGGUGCAAAGCUUUCUGAAUGCUAAUGAACUUAUUUGCCGAAAUUUAAAUGCUCUUCUUGUCAGUGAAUGCCUGUCUCACUUAACAGGAUCCAAAUUGAAUAAUGAAGAAAAUUAGACUUGAUCGUACCCUCAAGAGAAAUCAUGUGUGAAUUGUCAUAGAAUACUGAAGGGGAGAGGGGUCAUAUUUUAGAAAAAAAGAAUAGAUAAUUUGGAUUAUUUCCAAAAAGGGAUUAAUGUAGGGAAACCCAAUUCUUUUCAAAGCAACAUCUUCAUAGCCAGUCCAGGAGCAGAAUCACCAAGGCAGGACCAGUUUAGGAGAGUCAAGUCAUAGCCACAUGGAAGCCAUGCAAGCUUUCGGUGGUUAUAAUUCCCUGACCUCAUUCUGCUAAAAGUCCCUCCCAUGCCUGUGAUAGAAAGGGAAAAUCAGGCCGGCACCGUGGCUCAAUAGGCUAAUCCUCCGCCUUGUGGCGCCAGCACACUGGGUUCUAGUCCCGGUCGGGGCGCCGGAUUCUGUCCUGGUUGCCCCUCUUCCAGUCCAGCUCUCUGCUGUGGCCCAGGAGUGCAGAGGAGGAUGGCCCAGGUGCUUGGGCCCUGCACCCCAUGGGAGACCAGGAGAAGCACCUGGCUCCUGCUUUCGGAUCAGCACGGUGCGCUGGCCGCGGCGGCCAUUGGAGGGUGAACCAACGGCAAAGGAAGACCUUUCUCUCUGUCUCUCUCUCUCACUGUCCACUCUGCCUGUCAAAAAAAAAAAAAAAAAAGAGAAAAUCAAUCACCUGGAAAAUGAACCCUGGUCCCCCUGGGCGUUCAACAGGGCGAUGGUUGGAGCUCGGGCAACUGCUGCAGUUCUUCCUUUAAGCAUUGUGUCAUGAGGCUGUGCUCUCAUCACUGUGUUUUCUCCCAUCGCCUUGGUGUCAUCACUAAUAACGUAGGCAGCCAUGAUGCUUUUCCCCUGCCAGCAUCUGCGGGGCAUUGUGGGAGCAAGAUGGCGUCCCCUUGCCCAGGGAGCCAGGCUGGGAGAAAGCCCACAGCCACAGAAACCUGCUGACUGUGGCCAGGGACAGCAUUGGUAACGCAGAGUCAGACAAUGACAGAGGGGAAGGGAGGGGACAGCAAGGUGGGAAUGCAUCCUCCUCGUAAACCCGCAACAGGUUGGCGUCACCAGGAGGGCAGGAGCUGGGGAAGGCUCCUGAAGACGGCACAGGGCUGAGCGGGGUCUCCAGGGUUGGUUAGAAUUCCUGCUCCUGAGAGUUCAGGAGGGAGCAAAGAUAGAUCAAGAAAACCAGAAAACACCUCAAACCUGGGAGGGCUCAAAGCAAAACCAAACCAAAAAAAAAAAAAAAUGCUGAAAACUAAAAUUGUACUCUUCUAGAAAAAGAGAGUGGGCACUAACAGUUUGAUGCUGGUAGAUUUUCAUUGAGGAUUUUUUCCUUUGGCUAAGAGGGAAGGUUUAUAAGACAAAUUUCUAAGAUGUCGGUGUGUCUUUUGAACAUUGUACUGGAUGUUAUUCUCAAAGGACGAGGAGAAUGGUCAACACAGCUAAGGUGAGCAUCAGCCUUUACAAAUGUAUUGCCUUGUAUUACCUUUGAUUAAAUAAAAAGACUUCUUGUGUGUUUGGUUGCUUCCGUGGGAAGGUUGGAGAGUUAGGAGCCUAGUUUCCCCCUUGGAAUGAUAGGUGCGUUUUUAAGAGUAUGCGAGUAACUGGAAGAAGACGAAGGCUCAUCGCCACGGUUUCAAAGCAUGCUCUGCACCUUCAGAAACAGAGGGGAGCGGGCAAAGCAGGGAGGUGAAGGAGGGGGAGGAAGCAAGCCGCAAGCCGGUGAGACCACCCAGUCUGUGAGAAAGCUAAACGAACAGGGUUUGAAGGAUCCGUGGGUACUGAGGAACACGAGAAGAGGAGAUACUUAAAAACGGGAAAUUUCUCAAGCAAGUGAGGAUGAAUGAUGAGUUGCAUGGAAGCUGACUAAGGGGCUCGGGGAGAGGCAGUGGGAGGGGAAGCAGAACACGACCAGUGCCUGCAAACGGCCAAGCUGGAACCCUCGAUGGCCUAGCCGCCGAGCUGUGGCGCAUGUGCACAGCCUAGAAAUAAAGAGGGAAGAGAUGGAAAGGUUCAUGGUUACCGCGAAGUCCUGAGCACGUUCGAGGAAGCCGUAAUGUGGCAUUAGUCCUCAGGAAUGAAAGUGCUCCUAGAGAAAUCUCUCGGUCUGUGUUCUGCACUCAUUUAAGCACGGAAGAGUGUUCACGUACCUUCUACAGAAGGUUGAUGUAUAAGAUGAAUGCUAUUAAAAGAGAGAACAGCUCAGCAUCAUCGGGGCAAGUUGAAGAAAAGAUUCCGUUUAGAACAACCGAAUAGGGAGAAGGCGAGCAAACCUGCUCACAGCCUUGUAGGUACAAUUUUAAAAUUCAGAGUCUGAUGAGAGCACUGGAGACAAUUUAUCCAAUAGAAGCUGGGUGAUGACGAGGUUUCAACUGCUGUCAAUAUUUGAAAAUAUCCUCUUCCAAAACCAUUUCUCCCAUAAAAAUGAGCGAAAUAAAGUUAAAAAGCUUUGGGGGAUUGUUCUAAAAAUUUUGGAUAAGAGGAUUGAUAACAAUGUAAAGUUAUUCCCAGUGGUAGGAAUGACAAUUUUUCAGAAAAGCUGAUAUUUGGAGCAGGUGUAAAUGCCUGUGAUUAUCUCUUUGCUUCCCUGUAUUUGUGCAAGGGAUUCCUUCCAGCCAGCCAGUACCAGGCCCCUUCAGAGGGAAGCUGAUCGAGUAAUUGAGGUGGAAAGCCUUAAUGAGAUAAUGACGCGAAGGCCAGUUAACACUUAAUAAGAACAUAACCACGAGGGAUGAUAUUGUUGCUUAUUAAUUAUAAUGAUGACACGGAGGAAAGAGACAAGGUGGCACUCAUUUACAGAGAGUACUCAAGAGGAAGACUGCUUUCCCAAAGGGCAAGCUGCAGUCAGCCUUAGAAGUAGGUCAACAUCUAGUGGGGUUGGGAAUUUAUGGCCGUUGGCUUCUUCUGGCAACCGCAGAACUGGUGGCCAGGCAGGAGGCAGUGGCUGCCUUCCUGGUGGUGGCCAGGACUGGAGCAGGGGAUGCGCAUGGAGUCCCGGACUCCAGGCCGAGCUCUGGGGCGGUCUCCUUGCCUUCCAUUCCACAGUGUCAUUCGUGGGCAGACAGGCAGGUGUCCAGAACUGGUCUGGGUGUUCUCCCAGUUCUGCGACCUUCCCUUGCCCACACUCGGUGCGUGAGUCAGACCCAGAAGGCGUCUCCUCGCUCGGCAUGGGCGCCCUGCCCUUUGCGGGAGCCCAGAAGAUCCUUUCUUGUGUGUCAGAGGCCCAGGUCCAGCCAUUAUCAUAGACUUGAAUUUCAUUGCCCUCACUGUGAUUCCAGAAUUGAUUGCUGACCUGGGCACCUCCAUGUUCACCCAAGGCAGGGAGUUGCAGGCUCAGCACCUCACAGCAACUCCACUGUCCCUAUCCAAAUGUGAGGAAGGGGCGGCCAUCGGGGAAAACCUGGAGCUUCUGGAAACCACAGGACUCCUGUAGGCAGUCUUGGAAGCUGGAAAGAAGGGCUAGCCUGGGGAGGCUGACUUGGGGCUCAGUAAGGAACAUAAAACUCCCCUCCUCAUUCUCCAUCAUCUCCCUCACUCCUUUCUGGGUCAUUGGAUGCCACCUUUGCAAUGAUGGGGUGAUUGUCAGGUUUUCCGUGCCAUGAAGUUUAAAUCACAUGGGAUUGUUCUUAUCCUGUGUGAUGGUGUCACUGACCCCUGCAAUAGAAAGGAUAGAACAUUAUCAUCAAUGACUUUUUUAAAGCAUGCAUAUUUCAUUUUGUAUUACAUGUGUGGUUUGAGGAAGGCAAGACAGUUAAACCAAAGAUACAGCUCUGGUCCUCGUCCUUAGGCUGGGAGCUCUGUGGCCUUGGCACAGCUCUUCCCUUUAAAAAAGUAUUUAUUUACUUUAUUUAUUUGAAAGGCAGAAAGACAAGAAAAGAGAUCUCUCAUCUACUGGUUUACUUCCCAAAUGCCUAUCACAGCCAGGGCUGGCCAGGCUGAAGCCAGGAGCUGGGAACCCAAUCCAUGUCUCCCACAUGGGUGGCAGGGACCCAGCUACUUGCAAUAGUAGGAAGCUGGAAUUGGGGGCAGAGCUGGGGCGCACAUCCAAGCACUCAGACGUGGGAUGUUAGCAUCCCAGUGGCAUCUGCACUGCUAAACAAACACCCUCCCUACAUCUCUUGCCUUUCUGAGCUCACUUUCCCCAUUCAUAAAAUGAGGGGUUAUUGAGGAUAAUGUAUAAUUCCAAAGCCAUUUCUGAUUUAAAAGUCUGACAUAUGCACAAGAGGGGUCUCCAAAAAGUUCAUGGAAAAUAUGUAUCAUGAAAAGCUAUGCAUGGCUUUCAAAUUUUUUUUGGAUUAAAUUAAGCUUUUGUUUUAUCUCCAUUUUCCAUGAACUUUUUGAAGCCCCCUUGCAUGUGCUUGUAUGGGCCCUACAUCUAUUGCAUCUUCUUUAAAAAGCAAAAUUACUUAUUCAUUCGAGAGACAGAGAGUGAGCAGAUGGAGAGUGAGCUCCCAUCUGCUGGUUCACUGCCCAAAUGUCCACAGUAGCUAUGACGGGGCUGGGUUGAAGCUGAGAAGUGGGAACUCAAUCCAAGUCUCCCAAGUGGGCGGCAGAAAUCCCUGGCACCAUCACUGCUACCUCUCAGGGGCUGCAGUAGCUGGAAGCGGAAGUCGUGAACUGGAGUCGGAAACUGAACACCGGCACUCGGAUCUGGGACACGGGCAUCUUAAGCACUAGGCUAAAUGUCUGUCCUAUUAAAUCUUUUUGAGAAAAAGUAGUUGGUAAACCUCUCUGGGAAGAAAUAUUACCUUAAUUCAUGGUUCCGAGGGGACAAUUCAGGCCAGAGUUGCCAAAGACCCAAAGGCAAAGCUAUUUAUUGAAUAUAUGGUUAUCUAGAAAAUGUCAUACUUGGGAACUUCCUGCUGUGCUGCAGGUUCAUGUUCUGAUGUUUCCAGCAUGUUUCAGAGUAGGAAGAGGCAAUGAACACAAUCUUUCCUCGUCUUCCAAGUGGAAGAUUGAAUCCCACAGGAUACUGUCUGCCCAGCCAAUCCAGUUAAUAAUGUUUUUUUUUGUUUGUUUGUUUGUUUGUUUGUUUUUUUUGUUUUUGUUUUUGUUUUUUUGACAGGCAGAGGGGACAGUGAGAGAGAGAGAGAGAGGGAAAGGUCUUCCUUUGCCGUUGGUUCACCCUCCAAUGGCUGCCGCGGCUGGCGCUGCAGCCGGCGCACCGCGCUGAUCCGAAGGCAGGAGCCAGGUGCUUCCACCAUGGGGUGCAGGGCCCAAGCACUUGGGCCAUCCUCCACUGCACUCCCUGGCCACAGCAGAGAGCUGGCCUGGAAGAGGAGCAACCAGGACAGAAUCCGGCGCCCCAACCGGGACUAGAACCCGAUGUGCCGGUGCCGCUAGGCGGAGGAUUAGCCUGUUGAGCCAUGGCGCCGGCCAAUAUAGUAGGAAAGGGUCACUUUUUUUUCCUGAGUAUUUCCUGGUAAAUGCAUUAUUUCAGUGACAUUUGUUUAAUUGCAACAUAGGUAAAAUCAGCCUCUGAAAAAUAUCAACAGUAACAGCACUGACACGUGGAAGAGAAGUUGGUUUCUUAGCCAGAAGUUUCUGUGAACAUAUAAAUGACUUUCAACGUUCAUUGAUUCCAGAUAAAGGCUUCUUUCAGGUCGUUAAGAGGACUUAGGUGCCCUGAACAGAGAGGGGCUCUUUAUUGCUUGUAUCUUAUUUGGAAGUCAGAAAAAUAAUCGAUUUUUUUUUUUAAAGAGCAAGGCCAGACUGAAGCCUGGAGCCAGGAACUCCAUUCUGAUUUCCCACAUGGGUGGCAGGGGCCCAAGUGCUUGAGUGAUCGAUCACCUGCUGCUUCCCAGGCACAUUAGCAGGGAGCUGGGUCAGAAGCAGGAAAGCCGAGAAUGAACCAGCGCUUCAAUAGGGGGUGUGGGUGUCCCAAGCCAUGGCUUUACCCCUUGUGACACACUGCCCUCCCCAUCAAUCCACUUUUGAAAAUAAGAAUAUUAGCACCUGGAAUUGCAAACUGCCUUAAUUUAUAAUUCUUAGCCAUCUAGAAUGCCUUCUUUUGAUCUUCUUUCAAGGUUGGUUUCUCCUCUUUUGCUGAUUAAAUUCUAAAUUGUUCAGUAUGGUUGCAUUAAGCUGACUGGGCAAAGUUAGAAACAUUCAGAUACAGAAUUUGAUUAAAUAAGAAUACAAGAGAAGCGGCAGCUCUAUUUAUGCAACACCUACGUAUCAAUAUUUGAAUGCAGUAGCUAACUGUGGAGGACAAUGCAGGGAUGGAGAAUAGUGGCUAUCCCUGGGGAGCAACUGACUGGCUGGGAGGUUGGAGAAAGACUCUCUAUAUAUCCUGUUGUCCCUUUUAUACAAUGCAUCAUAUUCAUAUUUUACCUAUUCAUAUUUUUUAUAAGAGGAAAAGCUAUUUUUACUGAGAUGGAAAAAUACAAAAGACACAUUGUUGGGUAUAAAAGCAAAUUGCAGAAUAGUGUAAAUAGUAUUUUUGCUGUUUUUGUAAAGUAAUUACGCAUACACACACACACAUAUAUACACACACACAUAUGUGCACACCCACAUAUCUGUAAGAACACACACUGAAUUACAUGAACAAUGGUUCCCCAUAGGGAGGGAGAAAGAAACAAUAUGGGUAUACUGUCAAAGCCUAUGUGCUUUGACAGUCUGAAUUUUUAAAGUCCUAUGUAUUUAUUUGCAAGGCAGAACAAGAGAGAGAGAGAGAGAAAGUCUAACUACUGGUUUAGUCCCCAACUGCUUGAAGCCAGGGUGGGCCGACACCAGGAGCCAGGAGCCCCAUCUGGGUCUCCCAUGUUGGUGACAGGGGCCCAGGAACUUGGGCCAACAUCUGCUGCCUCCCAGGUACAUUAGUAAGAAGCAUGAUCAAACCAGAGGCAAGGGCCUGAUGCCAGGCACUCUGGUUAGGAUGUGGGCAUCCCACAUGGUGGAUUCACACACUCCGCCACAAUAUCUACCCUGAAUUUUAUUUUCUUUUACCCAAAGAGCAAACAUAUGAAUUCAGUUUAAAUAAUUCAUAAAAGCCCAACACAAUCAAAAGUUGGCACUUGAUUUCUACACACCCGUAACAACACCUUUGUCAGCCUUACUCUGGCUUGCUGUAAUCUCCCAAAUUCACUUUAGACCUCUCCCUGGCCUCUUUUAAGGCUUCCAGAACUCUCUGUUCCUUUACCUCUGUUAUUCAUCAACAGGUUAAAGCCAUGACUGACAGGUCACGGCAACACUACUUCCAGCUCCUGUCCCUACCACUUUCCUCUUCAAUUCAUCCAUAACAACACAGCUAACAUUUUUCUCAUUCCUACUGCGGGUUAAGCCGAACUCUCUACCUCUUUCAGGAAAAUUUCCAUGCUCUCAAGAUCAUCCCUGUUGGUACUUAAAUAUGUCUCCAAUCUCACGCAAUGAAAUCAAGAAAACUUCCUCCAAUUCUGUGUACUUCUUUAGAGCAAUUUCCCUUGAAAAAGCUUUUCUUUGAUAAAGACACUUUCUUCCCUUCCAUUCAUUUUUUAUAAAGAAAUUUUAUUUUUAUCUAUCUGAAAGACAGAGAAAUAGACAUAGUCAGUAAAAGAGAGAAAGAUCAUCCAUCUGCUGGUUCAUUCCCAAAAUGUGCACAACAAGCCAGGCUGAAGCCAGGAGCCAACAACUUGAUCUGGGUCUCCCAAGUGGGUGGCAGGGACCCAAGUGCUGGGGUCAUCCUCUGUUGCCUCUCGGGUGCAAUAGCAGAAAACUGGAUUAUAAGUGGAGGUGGGACUUACCCAGGCACUGAGAUAGGGGAUGUGCGGGUUGAAAGUGAGAAUUAACCCAAUGUGCCAGGACACUCACCCUCUCACCCAUUCUUAAACCCAUGCCUCUCCAGCUGUCAGCUCUAACCACUCUCCCCAGACUCUCGUCAAGGUCACUUGUGGUGUUUACUUGUGAAAUACAAUGGUCAAAUUUCAGUCCUCAUCUUCUCUACCUCUCAACUCACUGGCCACAGUGGAUGACUUUCUUCUCUUGGAAAUCCUUUUCCCUCUUGCUCCUCUGCACACUUGUGUCCCUUAGAUCUCUUCCUACCUCACAGACUGCUCCUUCUAAGCUUUACCUUUGUCCUCUUCGUCUUGAAAUGUUGUGACUAUUCAUGGCUCAGUCCUUGGGCCACCUGCUUUCUUUAUUUAAACUCAGUUCCUUGGUGAUCUCAUGCAGCAUCUUGGCUUUGAAUACCUUCCCCACGCUGAUGUCUUCCCAGUUUUAUGUCUAAAUUCCAACCUGAACCUAAACUAUACAUUCGCUAUCCUUUGUACAUCACUAACUAGCUUUAGCAGGAAUCUCAAACUUAACACACCCCAAAGAGGCAGACAUUUCUCACAUCCUUUCCAUAGCUUCAUUAAAUCAAUGAGCCAUAUGUUGCCAAAUGGUAUGUUGUCUCAUAUAUAUCACAGAUGUGUAAAAGCCAUGACUUCUGUAGUUGCAACAGGCAUGUAUCACACUUGUUAUAAAAGCCCCUUCCAAAUGAAACAUUCGUUAGAAACCUGCCAAUCUCCUUUGCAAUAUCAGUAGGGCGGUCCUAUGCCCUUAUUGGCUUGAACUGUCCAGAUGCACACCUGUUGUUGCAGCAUAAUUGUUAAUUGCAGUCCCUCUCACUCUCUAAAGAAUCUUGGUUUGGACGAUAAAUUAUAUGUUCGACCCAAGUAUUAGGGUCUCCAGGAUAAACGAUCAAGGCGCCAUUCCUAUUUAUUGGUAUUACCUUGUCACAAGCUGUGAAAACAAUUUUCCUUUUGAUUGUUUCUUCCUGAGUUGUCACAAAGACCUUCACAUAAAAUCGCUCUCUCCCAUUAAAGUAAUUAUGGAAACCCCCUUCAGUAAUGACCACUUGUUUAGUUUCCCGCCUCAGAUUCCAGAGACCCAGUGCACACAUUGCAUUUGCUGGGUCAGGAUCAAAAUUGUUCUGAGGCACCCAUCUUGGACAGGGAAAAUUUUAUCUAAUCCACAAGGAUCUCAAAUAAACAUUUUUUUUUUUCAUUUUUUUCCCUUUGGUAGCGUUAUCUUGUGGAAAUGUGAUUCUAGCGUGUGGCCAACUACUGCUUUUAGCCCAGUGAAUGGAAGACACAAUGCGAUAUACUUAGUUUCCACGGGACAUGUGUAUUUCUGGCGUAAGGAGCUUAAUGUCUUUGGAGUUGCUACUAGGGAAUGAGUCAUUGAAAGGUGAAUCUGGGUGGCCUCCUUAGACAUAAUCUCUGUAAAAACGAUUUAAUCUCUGUGAUUCACAAGGGAAGAUUUUCCUGAGUUGAGAAGAAUGACAUUCCUGGGACUACGUUUCCGCAACUAUAUUCUUGACUGAUGGUUGUAGCAACUCCAUUGAUUCACUAUUUAAUGUUGAAAAUUGAUUUCUACUUUUUCUCAUCUAAGGCUGUGUCCUUCUCGUACUGCUCUCCCCAGUCAAUUUGCUGGGGAAAAAAAAUGUCUUUUUGAAUAACGUAGACUCACAAAGACAAAGCAACUAGCACAGAAAAACUACAUUGUUUUUUCUCUAAUUGUUCUGCUGUUUUGUAACCCAUCUGUAAGUCAUGGAUUAUUCUGCUGGGGUUAGCUUUCCUGACACAGUUGCUGCAAAAUAAAUGAUACACUUAGCAAAAUAUCAGGAGUGUUCAGGAGAAGAGAUGAGGAAUGGCUUCAUUCCUGUUCGGAGCUGGCUUGGAAAUUAAAUUGAAUGAGGUAAAGUG